Molecule: ribosomal RNA, 1498 nt
Filed under: uncultured bacterium
Lineage: Bacteria
Description: bacterial SSU rRNA
Rfam family: Bacterial small subunit ribosomal RNA
Source: RNAcentral
UGCCUAACACAUGCAAGUCGUACGGAGGUCUUCGGACCUCAGUGGCGAACGGGUGCGUAACACGUGAGCAACCUGCCUCGAGGUGGGGGAUAACCCGGGGAAACCCGGGCUAAUACCGCAUUCGCUCGUGCUGUCUGAUGGUGGCACGAGGAAAGGGGCUUUCGGGCCCUGCCUUGAGAGGGGCUCGCGGCGUAUCAGGUAGUUGGUGGGGUAACGGCCCACCAAGCCGACGACGCGUAGCCGAUCUGAGAGGAUGAUCGGCCACAUUGGGACUGAGAUACGGCCCAGACUCCUACGGGAGGCAGCAGUGGGGAAUCUUGCGCAAUGGGCGAAAGCCUGACGCAGCGACGCCGCGUGCGGGAGGAAGCUCUUCGGAGUGUAAACCGCUGUCAGGAGGGAAGAAAUCUCCGGGGAGGCAAUGCCCUGGAGUUGACGGUACCUCCAGAGGAAGCACCGGCUAACUCUGUGCCAGCAGCCGCGGUAAUACAGAGGGUGCGAGCGUUGUUCGGAAUUACUGGGCGUAAAGCGCGCGCAGGCGGCUCUUUAAGUCUACUCGUGAAAUGCCGGGGCUCAACCCCGAGCGCUGCGGGAGAUACUGGAGGGCUGGAGACACGUAGAGGCAAGCGGAAUUCCGGGUGUAGCGGUGGAAUGCGUAGAGAUCCGGAAGAACACCGGAGGCGAAGGCGGCUUGCUGGGCGUGAUCUGACGCUGAGGCGCGAAAGCGUGGGGAGCAAACAGGAUUAGAUACCUGGUAGUCCACGCCGUAAACGAUGGGCACUAGACGCGGGUGGGAUCGACCCUGUCCGUGUCGCAGCUAACGCGAUAAGUGCCCCGCUGGGGAGUACGGCCGCAAGGCUGAAACUCAAAGGAAUUGACGGGGGCCCGCACAAGCGGUGGAGCAUGUGGUUUAAUUCGAAGCAACGCGAAGAACCUUACCUGGGCUUGACAUGCUAGAGAAAUCCUCGUGAAAGCGGGGGCCUCCUUCGGGACUCUAGCACAGGUGCUGCAUGGCUGUCGUCAGCUCGUGUCGUGAGAUGCUGGGUUAAGUCCCGCAACGAGCGCAACCCCUAUCUGCUGUUGCUAACGGGUGAAGCCGAGGACUCUGCAGAGACUGCCGGUGACAAACCGGAGGAGGGUGGGGACGACGUCAAGUCAUCAUGGUCCUUACGCCCAGGGCUACACACGUGCUACAAUGGCCGGCACAAAGCGCAGCAAUGCCGUGAGGUGGAGCGAAUCGCAAAAAGCCGGUCCAAGUUCGGAUUGCAGUCUGUAACUCGACUGCAUGAAGCCGGAAUCGCUAGUAAUCGUGGGUCAGCUACACCACGGUGAAUACGUUCCCGGGCCUUGUACACACCGCCCGUCACGCCAUGGAAGUCGGGAGCGCCCGAAGUCCGUGAGGCAACCCUUCGGGGAGCCAGCGGCCGAAGGCGAGUUCGAUGACUGGGGCGAAGUCGUAACAAGGUAGCCGUAGGGGAACCUGCGGCUGGAUCACCUCCUU